Molecule: ribosomal RNA, 424 nt
Filed under: uncultured bacterium
Lineage: Bacteria
Description: partial 16S ribosomal RNA
Rfam family: Bacterial small subunit ribosomal RNA
Source: RNAcentral
AAUUAUGGACAAUGGGCGCAAGCCUGAUCCAGCCAUGCCGCGUGAGUGAAGAAGGCCUUCGGGUUGUAAAGCUCUUUCGGACGGACAGAACUCGCGCCGGCUACUACCCUGCGCGGUUUAAGGUACCGUCCUAAGAAGCAUCGGCUAACUGCGUCCCAGCAGCCGCGGUAAUACGUAGGGUGCAAGCGUUAAUCGGAAUUACUGGGCGUAAAGCGUGAGCAGGCGGUAGAUUAAGACAGGCCUAAAAUCCCCGGGCUUAACCUGGGAACUGCGCUUGUGACUGGUCAGCUAGAGGACGGCAGAGGGGGGUGGAAUUCCACGUGUAGCAGUGAAAUGCGUAGAGAUGUGGAGGAACACCGAUGGCGAAGGCAGCCCCCUGGGCCGAUACUGACGCUCAUGCACGAAAGCGUGGGUAGCAAACAGG